RNAcentral lists this ribosomal RNA (103 nucleotides) under Staphylococcus aureus. Its description in RNAcentral is "partial 16S ribosomal RNA". It matches the Rfam family "Bacterial small subunit ribosomal RNA", at positions 1432 to 1533 of the family's 1533-position model. The record is from RNAcentral. Lineage: Bacteria; Bacillati; Bacillota; Bacilli; Caryophanales; Staphylococcaceae.
GGAGUAACCUUUUAGGAGCUAGCCGUCGAAGGUGGGACAAGUGAUUGGGGUGAAGUCGUAACAAGGUAGCCGUAUCGGAAGGUGCGGCUGGAUCACCUCCUUU